CAGAAAUGUGGGAACUUGAGCAUUGUCUCAGCACGUUUUGGAUUCUCAGAGUAUAAUUGCUCAAGCGGCACCUCAUGAAGAGGAACAAAGGAAGAAUUUCAAGUGGCUUGCAAAGAUUGAUAAAAUACAGCAAAAGUGUUAUAUGUUGGAACUAAAAGAGAAGGAAUAUUUAAAAACGAGGGAGGCAGAAGUAAGGCCCAGAAUGCAAGUCUGUGUUUUCUGUUGGCCACAGAAGAGGCUCUAAGAUCCUGAUUCUCUACCCAGGCUGCACAGUAAAAUCUCCCGGGCAGCUCUUAGACACCCUGAAGCCUCAGCCACGGCCCAGACCAGCGGCAGCGCCAUCUCGUCAGGUGGGGCCCAGGCAUCAGGGUUUCUGGUGCAGCCAAGGUUGGACACUACUGUUUUGGGUGCUAUUCUUGGGGCAUCUGCUCUGGGCUAACUCACACAGUUUCUUAAUACGUCUAUCUUUGGUGUUGAUCUUUGAUUUCAUACGGUGGCUUUGCUAAACUGGAAAUGAACAACAGGAAAAUGUGUGUCUUGGAGGUGACUGCGACAUCGGGACUUUAGGGCUCCUUUCUCAACACACCCGCAUGUCACCCCCUGCGGUUAAGUGUGCUGACGAGAAGACACCAUCUGGCAAACAGCCUUCGGCUCCUGGUGCUGCCUUCCAUGCCUGGGACGGAUGGCCAGGGUGUGUUGGCAGGUGGCAGAGUGUGGAAUGCCUAUGGAAUGUCACAUCAAAUCCCCGAGCAGAGGGCCUUUAAUGCUGUAUGCCCAGGGAGGGAGUGAUGAGCUCGGGGCUUGCUGGCCAUGGGCUCUGCCUGGUGGCAGAAGCUGCUGGGAACCAGGCUUUAACCCUUUGUUGCGUAGCCCUAAAUAUGGCCCAGGCCCCUCUGAGCCUUGGGGGACAGAGGGAAAUGGGGCCCGGGGGUGGAGGUUGAAUAACCAGGGAAUUCGCCCUGGGAAUCCACGUGAAUCCAAGGUAGGUGAGUUUACAGGAACAUCAGCCAUGUACACAGUGUUCCAGGCAGGACGCGCCUUGCUCUCUGAUCAUCCACAAGGCCACCUAGUGCCCCUUCAGCUUCUCCUCCAGCUGGGGCCAGACUGCC
Molecule: long non-coding RNA, 1109 nt
Filed under: Pan troglodytes (chimpanzee)
Lineage: Eukaryota; Metazoa; Chordata; Mammalia; Primates; Hominidae
Description: long non-coding RNA NONPTRT004898
Source: RNAcentral